RNAcentral lists this ribosomal RNA (1017 nucleotides) under Triticum aestivum (bread wheat). RNAcentral describes it as "partial small subunit ribosomal RNA". The record is from RNAcentral. Lineage: Eukaryota; Viridiplantae; Streptophyta; Magnoliopsida; Poales; Poaceae.
AUGGCCCACGCCUCAUCGCCACGCCACCGCCCGCGCAACGGAACGGGCACGCCACGCGCCCCUCCGCCCCUUUUCUUCUUCUUCUUCUUCUCGACUCUCCGCCAUUGCGCUAACCAAGGACAGAGAAGCCAGGCGGCAGCAACCCCUUUCCUCCAAUCUCCGUCCAUUCGAGACGUCUGCGGGGCCGGGCAAGGCAUGGUCGCCAUGCUGCCCGCCGCGAGGGGGGACGCCGCCCCAGCCGCCAGCGCCGGCGCCGCCGACAAGCUCGUCCACGGGCCUGUCACCGACGGCAAGUGCAAGAAGAAGGCCCCGAGGAUGAUCCACAAGGCCGAGAGGGAGAAGCACAAGCGCGACCUGCUCAACGAUCUCUUCAGCGAGCUUGACGAAAUGCUAGAAGCAGACAGGCAGACCAAUGGGAAGGCAUGUAUAUUGACUGACACCACUCGAAUCCUUCGAGACCUGCUUUCGCAAUUAGAAUCUCUCCGAAAGGAGAAUAGCACCCUGCAGAAUGAAUCCCAUUAUGUUACGAUGGAGAGGAAUGAGCUGCAGGAUGAGAACGGUGUGCUCCGCAAUGAAAUUCUGGAGCUACAAAAUGAGCUGGCGACGCUUCCCGCAGGCAACCCAGGUUGGGGCCAUGCUACUGCUGGAUCGCCUCACCCUGCGGGCACAGUUUUCCCGUCACAGCAACCAAUGCAGCCGACCACCAUCGCAAGCGCAGUAUUCCCCUUGCAGCAGCCUCUGCAACAGACAACAAUCCUGGAGCACCCUUAUGCACCACCACCACCACCACGGGAACUUAAGCUCUUCCCAGAUGCUGCGUCUGAUAUCGAAGGCCUUGAACCAUCAGAAGAUCAGGAGGCCGCCAACCAUAUUGCGCGACCGCUGGCGAGGUACCCAACACAGUCAGCGUUGUGGCCUGUAAGCCUGGGUCUCCCGAGGAUGGAAGACGAACAGUGUAGCAGUGGCACAACCGGCAGUAGCAAGGAAGGUAGUAGCUCUGCCUCUAGUAGAGAUUGA